Molecule: ribosomal RNA, 766 nt
Filed under: Ramularia phacae-frigidae
Lineage: Eukaryota; Fungi; Ascomycota; Dothideomycetes; Mycosphaerellales; Mycosphaerellaceae
Description: LSU rRNA
Rfam family: Eukaryotic large subunit ribosomal RNA
Source: RNAcentral
GCUGCACAUUUGCAAUGGCGCAAGCCCGAGUCGUCACUCCGUCGAGGAUGCUUCUAAGGUAGCGCUAAGUUCCUUGGAACAGGACGUCAUAGAGGGUGAGAAUCCCGUAUGUGACCGGCCCGCACCUUCUACGUAGCUCCUUCGACGAGUCGAGUUGUUUGGGAAUGCAGCUCUAGAUGGGAGGUAAAUUUCUUCUAAAGCUAAAUACCGGCCAGAGACCGAUAGCGCACAAGUAGAGUGAUCGAAAGAUGAAAAGCACUUUGGAAAGAGAGUUAAAAAGCACGUGAAAUUGUUGAAAGGGAAGCGCUUACAACCAGACUUCUGGGCGGUGUUCCGCCGGUCUUUUGACCGGUCUACUCGCCGUCCCGAGGCCAACAUCAUCUGGGACCGCUGGAUAAGACCUUAGGAAUGUAGCUUCCCUCGGGAAGUGUUAUAGCCUCUGGUGAUGCAGCGCGUCUCGGGUGAGGUCCGCGCUUCGGCAAGGAUGUUGGCGUAAUGGUUGUCAGCGGCCCGUCUUGAAACACGGACCAAGGAGUCUAACAUCUAUGCGAGUGUUCGGGUGUCAAACCCCUACGCGUAAUGAAAGUGAACGGAGGUGGGAAGCGUAAGCUGCACCAUCGACCGAUCCUGAUGUCCUCGGAUGGAUUUGAGUAAGAGCAUAGCUGUUGGGCCCCGAAAGAUGGUGAGCUACGCCCGAAUAGGGUGAAGCCAGAGGAACCUCUGGUGGAGGCUCGCAGCGGCUCUUACGUGCAAAUCGAUCGUCACU